This 431-nucleotide ribosomal RNA is filed under the name uncultured bacterium. RNAcentral's name for it is "partial 16S ribosomal RNA". It matches the Rfam family "Bacterial small subunit ribosomal RNA", at positions 29 to 507 of the family's 1533-position model. The record is from RNAcentral.
AACGAACGCUGGCGGCAGGCCUAACACAUGCAAGUCGAGCGCCCCGCAAGGGGAGCGGCAGACGGGUGAGUAACGCGUGGGGACGUACUAUUUGGUUCGGAACAACUCCGGGAAACUGGAGCUAAUACCGGAAAAGCCCUAACGGGGAAAGAUUUAUCGCCGAACGAUCGGCCCGAGACUGAUUAGCGGGUUGGUGAGGUAACGGCUCACCAAGGCGACGACCGGUAGCUGGUCUGAGAGGAUGAUCAGCCACACUGAGACUGAGACACGGCCCAGACUCCUCCGGGAGGCAGCAGUGGGGAAUAUUGCACCAUGGGGGCAAUCCUGAUCCAGCCAUGCCGCGUGAGUGAUGAAGGCCUUAGGGUUGUAAAGCUCUUUUGUCCGGGAAGAUAAUGACUGUACCGGAAGAAUAAGCCCCGGCUAACUUCGUG